RNAcentral lists this ribosomal RNA (440 nucleotides) under uncultured bacterium. RNAcentral describes it as "bacterial SSU rRNA". It matches the Rfam family "Bacterial small subunit ribosomal RNA", at positions 338 to 795 of the family's 1533-position model. The record is from RNAcentral.
CCUACGGGUGGCUGCAGUGGGGAAUAUUGCACAAUGGGGGAAACCCUAAUGCGGAAACGCCGCGUGAGCGAUGAAGGCCUCCGGGACGUAAAGCUUUGCCCUAAGGAAAGAAUCUUACCGGUACCUUAGGAGGAACCCCCGGCUAACUACGUGCCAGAAGCCGCGGUAAUACGAAGGGGGCUAGCGUAAUCCGGAAUUACUGGGCGUAAAGGGUGCGUAGGCGGCCCUUCAAGUCAGAGGUGAAAGGCUACGGCUCAACCGUAGUAAGCCUUUGAAACUGUAGGGCUUGAGUGCAGGAGAGGAGAGUGGAAUUCCCAGUGUAGCGGUGAAAUGCGUAGAUAUUGGGAGGAACACCAGUUGCGAAGGCGGCUCUCUGGACUGUAACUGACGCUGAGGCACGAAAGCGUGGGGAGCGAACAGGAUUAGAUACCCGUGUAGUC